Papaver somniferum (opium poppy) is the source of this 1280-nucleotide RNA transcript. It is a transcript of the gene named DNA-directed RNA polymerase III subunit 2-like, with no coding region annotated. Lineage: Eukaryota; Viridiplantae; Streptophyta; Magnoliopsida; Ranunculales; Papaveraceae. The record is from RefSeq and is a predicted model, not a curated record. The transcript is spliced from 4 exons.
UUCUAUUCUUUAAUCUCUGCAACAAUGGCGAUUGAGUGAAGGAGAGAUUUCUAGUGAGUUCUAUCAUCAACAGAUGUUUCUAACAACACAUAGUUUGUGUUUAUGGUUUGGUUUAACUUUAAUGGUGUUUUAUGACAGUUAAAAGCUUAAACAAGUAACUGGUUAUGGAAAACCCCAUUUUUCUUACAAGAGAACGUCACGAUGUUUGCAAACAUAAUGAGGAAGCAUGUGAAGAAUCCAGUUAGAAAUUUUAGGUUGAAAUCGUGCUACUAAUAAGGUUAUUUUUUUGAUAAUUUGGAUGUGAACUGUGGUGAUUUAGAGGUCUAGUUUCUGAUACUGAAGAAAUGGGUAUUGAACUCUACAGAGAAUUUGUGAAAAGUACUUUGGGGGUGAAAAUUAUUUUGAUUAACUUGACAAGGUACAUACUCAAGCUGCUGGCAUUGAUACAGUCAGGAAAGUGAUGUUGCAUCCGUUGUGUUUGAUAGUGAUGCCGCUGCCGUUGUAUUUUGAUACAGUCGGGAAACGUUUUUAAGAAAAGAGCUGAUGGAUGGAGUGCGCACAUUUAACAACUUCCUACACGAAGGGCUAAUCGAAUAUCUUGACGUUAAUGAACAGAACAAUGCAUUGAUUGCUUUAUAUGAAGGGGAACCAAAAGAAGAUAUCACUCGUAUAGAAAUUGAAGCUUUCAUGAUCUUGGGUGUUUGUGCCGGGCUAAUUCCAUUUCCUCUCCACAAUCUACACUUUUUGCCAGUCGAUUUUAGCUUACAUGUUCAAUUUCUCAACAAAAUGUUGUAAUUAAAUUCGAUGGUUUUGUAGAUGUUUGACGGUGGUAGAACCGUAGAAGUAGACCAAGCUGUUGUUGGUGCUGCUGUAGUGGUUUCGAUGAUGUUGAUAGAGGUUCUUAUGUUGAUUUUGAAGAUGUUGAUGGAGGUGGAUGUUUUUGCUGCGAUGGUUUUGCAGAUGCUAUGGGAGGUGGAAAUGGACCAAAUGGCUGUUGCUGCUGCAGUGUCCAUGGCGUUCAAAACACAAAAGGUUCGCCAUUUCAGAUCCAGGGUUUAGGUGCAGGUGGUGCCAUAUCUAACUGUGGUUACUUGAGUUAUAAGGGAAGGGUAUAUAUGUAAAAAUUUGGAACCGUUUUUUUUUAAACUGUUAGAUCGGAUGGAAGAUGGCUAUUUUGUAAUUGAUAUUGAAAAGUAUGACUAUUUUGUAACCCAAUUACAAAAAAUAUGACCAUCUUGUAAAUGGCCCUAAGAAAUAUUAGAUUCUAAUUAAUAUUUAUA